GUCGAGGGGUAUAUGUCUUCGGAUAUAGAGACCGGCGCACGGGUGCGUAACGCGUAUGCAACCUACCUUUCACAGGGGGAUAGCCCAGAGAAAUUUGGAUUAAUACCCCAUGGUAUAUAGAGAUGGCAUCAUUUUUAUAUUAAAGUCACAACGGUGAAAGAUGGGCAUGCGUCCCAUUAGCUAGAUGGCAAGGUAGCGGCUUACCAUGGCUACGAUGGGUAGGGGUCCUGAGAGGGAGAUCCCCCACACUGGUACUGAGACACGGACCAGACUCCUACGGGAGGCAGCAGUGAGGAAUAUUGGACAAUGGGCGCAAGCCUGAUCCAGCCAUGCCGCGUGCAGGAUGACGGUCCUAUGGAUUGUAAACUGCUUUUAUACGGGAAGAAACCCCGCCUCGUGAGGCGGAUUGACGGUACCGUAAGAAUAAGGAUCGGCUAACUCCGUGCCAGCAGCCGCGGUAAUACGGAGGAUCCAAGCGUUAUCCGGAAUCAUUGGGUUUAAAGGG
This 505-nucleotide ribosomal RNA is filed under the name uncultured Bacteroidota bacterium. RNAcentral's name for it is "bacterial SSU rRNA". It matches the Rfam family "Bacterial small subunit ribosomal RNA", at positions 61 to 567 of the family's 1533-position model. Lineage: Bacteria; Pseudomonadati; Bacteroidota. The record is from RNAcentral.